This 313-nucleotide long non-coding RNA is filed under the name Medicago truncatula (barrel medic). RNAcentral's name for it is "long non-coding RNA (MTRU_LNC007383)". The record is from RNAcentral. Lineage: Eukaryota; Viridiplantae; Streptophyta; Magnoliopsida; Fabales; Fabaceae.
GUCGGCAUUCCUACGUGCUCCUCUUUGCCCCCUACUUAAGAAUCCAAAGGUCACCUUUGGCUGUUGUCUUGACGCUUUGGUUACGAAAGUAGCCGGGGUCUAGGUUUAUGGAUGGAUUUUGUCAGCGAAAGUCCCUCAAACUCAAUCACAACAACAUGUCGUGACCGGUUAGGCUUGGUGGAUUUUGUCAGAAAAGAAAGUAGGUUUCGGGGGUGGGUUCAUUGAUUAGUACACCUCCGGUGCUGAUAAGGUCGGGACCGUGGUCGUCCGUCUCAGGUUUGCCGGCCGAUAAGAUCUCUGAGAUUGACCAGCC